UAUUGGCUGCCUCAACAUUACUGAAAUUUCUUCCUGAUGCUCAAGCACUCAAACCUAUUAGGAUAGAUGAUUAUGAGGAAGAACCAAUAUUAAAACCAGGAUGUAAAGAGUAUUUUUGGUUGUUAUGCAAAUUAGUUGACAACAUACAUAUAAAGGACGCUAGUCAGACAACGCUCCUCGACUUAGAUGCCUUGGCAAGACAUUUGGCUGACUGUAUUCGAAGUAGGGAGAUCCUUGAUCAUCAGGAUGGUAAUGUAGAAGAUGAUGGGCUUACAGGACUCCUAAGGCUUGCAACAAGUGUUAUUAAACACAAACCACCCUUUAAAUUUUCAAGAGAAGGACAGGAAUUUUUGAGAGAUAUCUUCAAUCUCUUGUUUUUGUUGCCAAGUCUGAAGGACCGACAACAGCCAAAGUGCAAAUCACAUUCUUCAAGAGCUGCUGCUUACGAUUUGUUAGUAGAGAUGGUAAAGGGGUCUGUUGAGAACUACAGGCUAAUACACAACUGGGUUAUGGCACAACACAUGCAGUGUAAGCAUUCUUCUUUUCCUUUAAUCUUUAUAAAUUUUUAAUUCAGAAAUAAGAUUUUGAGGGCACUGUUUAACAAAAGAAUCUGCUCUUCACAUACUUUAACAUUAUAAAUGAUUAUUGGUAGGGUGUUAUUGAAGUUAAAAAGUAAACAUUGAUGUGAAGGACCUUUUUAUAUGCAUUUUAAAUACUUUGGCUCUUUCUGUAAAACUAAUUUGGGGCUAAGUAAAAUCAAGUUUUAAAAGUCUUGAAUUUUUAGAGAAUAAAUAAGUUUCCAUGUGUAUUCUUUAUUUAAAAAAUUAUAUAUAAUGUUCUAUAUAUAUUAAUGAGGUAACUAAUGGAGGUAGAGGCUGUUAAUGUAAGCAAAAUACCUUAUGUUUCAUAGUUUGUUUGGGGGGG
This 924-nucleotide small RNA is filed under the name Pongo abelii (Sumatran orangutan). Its description in RNAcentral is "retained intron". Lineage: Eukaryota; Metazoa; Chordata; Mammalia; Primates; Hominidae. The record is from RNAcentral.